UAUUGGGCUGCAGAGAGAUUUACAUAUCUUUUUGGCACUGAGAACCCUUUCGUAAGAGGCUGCCUGGUGUGGAUUUCGGCCAUGCAAAGAGACAAGUUUUUGUUUUUUUCCCCGACAACAUUGCUUGGAUAGCAAAGCGAAGGUAGAUGUUUAUCGGUAUGAUGGAUUGCCUGGAUGGAACACCAUUUGAAAGAUGCAUUAUCGCCUGGUCCAAAGCCCAUGUGGGUGUGUGAUCAGAUACCGACACAAACCAGAGCGUCUCAGCCUAGUCAGCUGACUAAACAUGCGUUGCUGGGGAGAGCCGCGCACGCAUGAUCAAGCCAACACUCAGCAGGUUUUGAUGCUCCAUAUCACCCCGACACAAGAAGUGGUCCUGCCACCUUGUGUCCUUGUGUUUAAAAAACAACUGCUGAUCAGCUUCCAUUAUUGCUCCACAUCAACCUACAUGAUUUCCAGUGGUUUAUUCCAGUUGUAAAAUAUAAACUCCUUCAGGAUUUUCAGAAGAGUAACAGGCAUUUCAACCGUGAGUUUAAAUAUUUAGCAACAGCCCUCCGGGGCUUUUGAGAGUCUGAAAUGAGAGAAUUUAUAGAGUGUUUUUUGCAAUGACAGAACAGUGGCAGACAGAGCU
Long non-coding RNA from Clupea harengus (Atlantic herring), 628 nucleotides. NCBI's taxonomy places the organism in Eukaryota, Metazoa, Chordata, Actinopteri, Clupeiformes, Clupeidae. The record is from Ensembl.